RNAcentral lists this ribosomal RNA (501 nucleotides) under uncultured bacterium. Its description in RNAcentral is "partial 16S ribosomal RNA". It matches the Rfam family "Bacterial small subunit ribosomal RNA", at positions 30 to 523 of the family's 1533-position model. The record is from RNAcentral.
AUUGAACGCUGGCGGCAGGCUUAACACAUGCAAGUCGAGCGGAGAUGAGGUGCUUGCACCUUAUCUUAGCGGCGGACGGGUGAGUAAUGCUUAGGAAUCUGCCUAUUAGUGGGGGACAACAUUCCGAAAGGAAUGCUAAUACCGCAUACGUCCUACGGGAGAAAGCAGGGGAUCUUCGGACCUUGCGCUAAUAGAUGAGCCUAAGUCGGAUUAGCUAGUUGGUGGGGUAAAGGCCUACCAAGGCGACGAUCUGUAGCGGGUCUGAGAGGAUGAUCCGCCACACUGGGACUGAGACACGGCCCAGACUCCUACGGGAGGCAGCAGUGGGGAAUAUUGGACAAUGGGGGAAACCCUGAUCCAGCCAUGCCGCGUGUGUGAAGAAGGCCUUAUGGUUGUAAAGCACUUUAAGCGAGGAGGAGGCUACUGAGACUAAUACUCUUGGAUAGUGGACGUUACUCGCAGAAUAAGCACCAGCUAACUCUGUGCCAGCAGCCGCCGCAG